RNAcentral lists this ribosomal RNA (562 nucleotides) under uncultured bacterium. RNAcentral describes it as "bacterial SSU rRNA". It matches the Rfam family "Bacterial small subunit ribosomal RNA", at positions 343 to 905 of the family's 1533-position model. The record is from RNAcentral.
GGGAGGCAGCAGUAAGGAAUAUUGGACAAUGGGGGCAACCCUGAUCCAGCCAUCCCGCGUGCAGGAAGACUGCCCUAUGGGUUGUAAACUGCUUUUGUACAGGAAGAAACCCUUGGAUUUAUCUGAGGCUGACGGUACUGUAAGAAUAAGCACCGGCUAACUCCGUGCCAGCAGCCGCGGUAAUACGGAGGGUGCAAGCGUUAUCCGGAAUCACUGGGUUUAAAGGGUGCGUAGGUGGAUACAUAAGUCAGAGGUGAAAGACUUGAGCUUAACUGAAGAAUUGCCUUUGAAACUGUGUAUCUUGAAUGAGGUUGAGGUUAGCGGAAUGUGACAUGUAGCGGUGAAAUGCAUAGAUAUGUCAUAGAACACCAAUUGCGAAGGCAGCUAGCUAGGCCUGUAUUGACACUGAGGCACGAAAGCAUGGGGAGCGAACAGGAUUAGAUACCCUGGUAGUCCAUGCCCUAAACGAUGUUUACUCGAUGUUUGGAUUUAAUUUGAGCAUCCAAGGGAAACCGUUAAGUAAACCACCUGGGGAGUACGUUCGCAAGGAUGAAAUCUCAAA